AUUGAACGCUGGCGGCAUGCCUUACACAUGCAAGUCGAACGGCAGCACGGGAGCAAUCCUGGUGGCGAGUGGCGAACGGGUGAGUAAAGUAUCGGAACGUGCCCAGUCGUGGGGGAUAACGUAGCGAAAGUUACGCUAAUACCGCAUACGAUCUAUGGAUGAAAGCGGGGGAUCGCAAGACCUCGCGCGAUUGGAGCGGCCGAUAUCAGAUUAGGUAGUUGGUGGGGUAAAGGCUCACCAAGCCGACGAUCUGUAGCUGGUCUGAGAGGACGACCAGCCACACUGGGACUGAGACACGGCCCAGACUCCUACGGGAGGCAGCAGUGGGGAAUUUUGGACAAUGGGCGAAAGCCUGAUCCAGCCAUGCCGCGUGCAGGAUGAAGGCCUUCGGGUUGUAAACUGCUUUUGUACGGAACGAAAAGGUUUGGGCUAAUAAGCUGAGCUCAUGACGGUACCGUAAGAAUAAGCACCGGCUAACUACGGGCCAGCCGCCGCUGUAA
RNAcentral lists this ribosomal RNA (500 nucleotides) under uncultured bacterium. RNAcentral's name for it is "partial 16S ribosomal RNA". It matches the Rfam family "Bacterial small subunit ribosomal RNA", at positions 30 to 523 of the family's 1533-position model. The record is from RNAcentral.